This 337-nucleotide long non-coding RNA is filed under the name Helicoverpa zea (corn earworm). RNAcentral's name for it is "uncharacterized LOC124642718". The record is from RNAcentral. Lineage: Eukaryota; Metazoa; Arthropoda; Insecta; Lepidoptera; Noctuidae.
AAAAAUUGGUCUAUUUAAAAGUAAAACAAUAUUUUAAAAUAAUUUUUGUUUGCAAUGCAAAAAUCAAUAUAAAUCUUGUGACGCGCGGUGUUCAACUUUAGUCAGCGCCAGGCGCUUACCGAGGAGGGACGUAUCGCUCGCUGUUGCGCCGCGUAAACUCGCCGGAGUUCGAAAAAUAUAGCGCAACCUACGCAUCUAACACGUUUUGAUACUAGAUAAUGAAAGCAUAUUUAAUUCAGACUAUCAGACUCAAUUGAAUACCAGUACAAAUAAUAUGGAAAAUGAAGAUACAAUACAUGGAAGACGAAUUAUAGAUUUUAGUUUUUUUAUAAAUCAA